AGGGCUCGGGCAUUUGAGGCUGUAGGGAAGUAUGAGAUGGCUAUGCUUGAUGUGCAAGUGCUAUUGGGAGUUGAACCUAAUCACGGGGAUGCUUUAGAGAUUGCUAGGAGAUUGAGGACUGCGUUGGGAACUCGCCAGGAAGCUCAGCAGGACCUUCAUAGUCGCCCUUCCCCUGCUGCCCUUGGUGCUUCUGCGGUUCGUGGUGCUCCAAUUGCUGGUUUAGGGCCAUCUUUACCUGCCCGACCAGGGCCUAAGAAGGGGGCAAGUGCAGCUACUGGAUUGCUUGUGUCACCUAAUUACAAGCCAGAGAAGCCCCAAGUUAUUUUAUCAUCUGAAAAUGGUCAUGAGAACAAGUCACAGUCUCCAAAACUUUCGUUGAAACCCUCAAGUGGCUCCGCUAAUACCUCUAAUCCAAGGAAGGGAAACCAGAAGGAUCUGUUGUCUCAUUCAGCAAAUGUUCAGCACUCAGAGGUUGUAAUUCGGUUGAGACCUUUGAAACUUGUUUAUGAUCAUGAUAUCAGGCUUGCUGAGAUGCCAGUGAAUUGCAGUUUUAGAGUGCUGCGAGAAUUAGUGACCAAGAGAUUUCCAUCAUCAAAGUCUGUUCUGAUCAAGUAUAAGGAUAAUGACGGUGAUUUGGUGACUAUAACAUCUACGGAUGAACUCAGAUUGGCCGAAGGUAGUGUGGAUAGCCAUCUCCUGAAAGAACCCGAAGCAGAUAAAAGUGAUUCAGUUGGGAUGCUGAGACUAAAUAUCGUUGAAGUUAGUCCUGAGCAGGAGCCACCUUUAUUGGAAGAAGAGGAAGAAAAACCUGUGGAGAGCGAUGGGAUCAAGGAAGUUGAGAGUGAGUCUCAAUCACCCAAUGAAUCUUUCUCUGAGGCCCCUGACACUGAAGCUGAUAAGAUAGAGAAAGAUGCACCGAAGGAAAAGCCUGGUUCUGCCACAGAAGCUACUGAAUGCAAGGAAGUGGAGAUGGAUGAUUGGUUGUUUGAAUUUGCUCAGCUUUUCCGCUCUCAUGUUGGUAUUGAUCCAGAUGCUCAUAUUGACUUGCAUGAGCUGGGGAUGGAGUUUUGUUCUGAGGCACUCGAGGAAACAGUCACCGGUGAGGAGGCCCAGGAUCUCUUUGACAAAGCGGCUUUGAAGAGUUUUUUACAUUGUCACUAUAUUAUCUAUCAUUCAUUUUCAAUUUAACUUUUCAGAAAAAAUAAUCAAAAUGAAAAAUAAAUGAUGCACUGAUAAUAUAUAAUUCUUUAUAUUGUUAGUGUAUCAAUAUUAUACUCUUAAAAAUAUAAGUUAGAUAAGAUAACCCCUCUGAAUAAUUAUUUAAAUCUGAUCCCAUGAUGUGAGGGAAGAGAUUUCCGAAAACAAAUGAUGUGUUACAUGAAGCACAUCUUAUUGGUCGGAAUAAUUUGUAUAAACUUUUCUAACCAAUAAAAAACACAUUAUAAUAGUAUAAACUUUGGAAUAGAAAAUCUAUACUCUAUAUUACAUGGAGUGAGUAGGAAGCAGUUAUUGUUUGGCCCAAAAGCGUGAAAAAGUGGGGGAAAAUGACUGGUCUGUGAGUAAUGGAGAUUUUCGCGGAUCCAGUCGUAAAUCAAUGAACCUGUCUGUCCUCUUUUGGGGUUUUAGAUGUAUGAAAAUAAAAUACCAUGCCAAAUUUUCUUACAAAUUCUUGUGUCACUUUUUUCUUGUGUAGAUGAUGAUUUAGUAAUUGAAUAUAUCAAUACUUUCUUAGACGUGUUAUGGACAUUAAAUAUGAUCAUAGUUUUUUUGAAAAAGAAAAUAGUCACAACUACAAAUAUCUAAUUUUAUCAUAAAUUUUCCAUAUGCAUUGAGCAAAAUUGUAUGACAAAAUAAAUAUGUUAUCCAAAUUAUAUCUUAUAUCUUAUCUCUCGUGCCAAUAAUUUUUUUAGAAAAAACAACACUAAACUAAAAAAAAUAGAAUUUUUAACAUGUAACCAAACUAUUUAGUAACCUAAAACAAACUAUAAAGUGUGAAAAACUACUUUCACAUAUACUUAAUAAAAUUAUGGUGAGUUAGAAGAGUUGAACAUAUAUCACUAUAGGAUUUAUAACUUAAAUUUUCAUCAAGUAAACAAACCUUUAAUAAUUAAAAUUAACUAAACAUUUUUAUUAUGCAAUUAAUUAAUUAAAAAAGAAUUUUGAAAGUGGAAGUUAAAAUAUGAUUUCAGGAAAAAAAACAUAAUAUAAAUAUAAACAUUUUAGCAAUCCAAUAAAAUUGGAUAUACCAAAACAAAUGUACCAAAAAAGCCAAUAAAAUUGGGAGGCCUAAGCAUUGGGCCUCUAAGGCCCACCACGAUUUCGGGUGCUGAAUCUGCUAAUGAUUCAUAUCUAGGGUUUCAAACCCUAACGAUAUCACUUCUCAAAACCCAACGUUAUUCCUUAACUGAACCUUCACCAUUUCUCCCCCAUCUUCUACAAUUCUCCAUUGGGCAAUCGCAGGCACAAAGAAAGUUUCAUUUUUUCGCAGAAAUUCCUUAUCUUUCAGCUUCUUACCUGUAAGUUCCUCUCACCCUCAAUGGGUAUAUAUCUAUAGGUAAAUACUGAUUUUAAUUUAGUUGAGUAUUUAGGUGAUUUUAAUUUAGGUGAAUAAGGGAAAUAAAUAUCAAAUGGGAAAAUCUGGGGGUAGAAGAAAAAAGGGUAGUGCUUCAAAAUCAAACCAAGCUUCUGUUGAUGAUUCAGUUGCUCCAAUUGCUAAUGGUAGUGUGGAUUUGGAUUCCUCAAUAUUUUUGAAGAGAGCCCAUGAGCUCAAAGAAGUGGGAAAUGUAAAGUUCCAGAAUAAGGACUUUGUUGGUGCCCUACAACAUUAUGAGAAUGCCCUAAAACUAACCCCUAAGACCCACCCUGAUAGGGCUGUUUUCCACAGCAACAGAGCUGCUUGUUUGAUGCAAAUGAAACCUACUGAUUAUGAAUCUGUGAUUGCCGAGUGCACCAUGGCGCUUCAGGUUCAGCCGCAAUUUGCUAGGGCACUCAUUCGGAGGGCUCGGGCAUUUGAGGCUGUAGGGAAGUAUGAGAUGGCUAUGCUUGAUGUGCAAGUGCUAUUGGGAGUUGAACCUAAUCACGGGGAUGCUUUAGAGAUUGCUAGGAGAUUGAGGACUGCGUUGGGAACUCGCCAGGAAGCUCAGCAGGACCUUCAUAGUCGCCCUUCCCCUGCUGCCCUUGGUGCUUCUGCGGUUCGUGGUGCUCCAAUUGCUGGUU
Molecule: long non-coding RNA, 3216 nt
Filed under: Lupinus angustifolius (narrow-leaved blue lupine)
Lineage: Eukaryota; Viridiplantae; Streptophyta; Magnoliopsida; Fabales; Fabaceae
Description: long non-coding RNA (LANG_LNC002391)
Source: RNAcentral